Molecule: ribosomal RNA, 442 nt
Filed under: uncultured bacterium
Lineage: Bacteria
Description: partial 16S ribosomal RNA
Rfam family: Bacterial small subunit ribosomal RNA
Source: RNAcentral
CCUACGGGUGGCUGCAGUGGGGAAUAUUGGGCAAUGGGCGCAAGCCUGACCCAGCAACGCCGCGUGAAGGAAGAAGGCUUUCGGGUUGUAAACUUCUUUUGACAGGGAAGAGCAGAAGACGGGAACCGUCGAAUUAGCCAUGGCUAACCACGUGCCAGCAGCCGGGGUAAUACGUAGGUGGCAAACGUUGUCCGGAAUUACUGGGCGUAAAGGGCGUGUAGCCGGGCUAGCAAGUUAGAUGUGAAAACCGGGGGCUCAACCCCCGAACUGCUAUUGAAAAUGUUUGUCUUGAGUGUCGGAGAGGCAGGUGGAAUUCCUAGUGUAGCGGUGGAAUGCGUAGAUAUUAGGAGGAACACCAGUGGCGAAGGCGACCUGCUGGACGACAACUGACAGUGAGGCGCGAAAGCGUGGGGAGCAAACAGGAUUAGAUACCCCAGUAGUC